This 497-nucleotide ribosomal RNA is filed under the name uncultured bacterium. RNAcentral describes it as "partial 16S ribosomal RNA". It matches the Rfam family "Bacterial small subunit ribosomal RNA", at positions 28 to 507 of the family's 1533-position model. The record is from RNAcentral.
GACGAACGCUGGCGGCGUGCCUAAUACAUGCAAGUUGAGCGCUGAAGGUUGGUACUUGUACCUACUGGAUGAGCAGCGAACGGGUGAGUAACGCGUGGGGAAUCUGCCUUUGAGCGGGGGACAACAUUUGGAAACGAAUGCUAAUACCGCAUAAAAACUUUAAACACAAGUUUUAAGUUUGAAAGAUGCAAUUGCAUCACUCAAAGAUGAUCCCGCGUUGUAUUAGCUAGUUGGUGAGGUAAAGGCUCACCAAGGCGAUGAUACAUAGCCGACCUGAGAGGGUGGUCGGCCACAUUGGGACUGGGACACGGCCCAAACCCCUACGGGAGGCAGCAGGAGGGAAUCUUCGGCCAUGGACGAAAGUCUGACCGAGCAACGCCGCGUGAGUGAAGAAGGGUUUCGGAUCGUAAAACUCUGUUGGUAGAGAAGAACGUUGGUGAGAGUGGAAAGCUCAUCAAGUGACGGUAACUACCCAGAAAGGGACGGCUAACUACGUG